Molecule: ribosomal RNA, 253 nt
Filed under: uncultured bacterium
Lineage: Bacteria
Description: partial 16S ribosomal RNA
Rfam family: Bacterial small subunit ribosomal RNA
Source: RNAcentral
UACAGAGGGUGCAAGCGUUGUUCGGAAUUAUUGGGCGUAAAGGGCGUGUAGGCGGUCUGCUAAGUCAUGUGUGAAAUCCCUCGGCUUAACCGAGGAACGACGCAUGAAACUGGCAAGCUAGAGUACCAAAGAGGGGGGUGGAAUUCCCGGUGUAGCGGUGAAAUGCGUAGAUAUCUGGAGGAACACCGGUGGCGAAGGCGACAUCCUGGACCGGUAUUGACGCUGAGGCGCGAAAGCCAGGGGAGCAAACGGG